GUAACGGCGAGUGAAGCGGGAUGAGCUCAAAUUUAAAAUCUGGCUGGUUUACUAGUCCGAAUUGUAGUUUAUAGAAGCGUUUUCGGUGGCAGCCUGGGUAUAAAUCCUUUGGAAUAGGGUAUCAUAGAGGGUGAGAAUCCCGUCUUUGACUCAGUGCAUGCUACUAUGUGAUACGUUUUCAAAGAGUCGAGUUGUUUGGGAAUGCAGCUCAAAAUGGGUGGUAAAUUUCAUCUAAAGCUAAAUAUUGGCGAGAGACCGAUAGCGAACAAGUACCGUGAGGGAAAGAUGAAAAGAACUUUGAAAAGAGAGUUAAACAGUGCGUGAAAUUGUUGAAAGGGAAACGCUUGACACCAGUUAUGCGGGUGGAAAAUCAGUCUUUUGCAAUGGGGAGUUGUGGGCGUUCAGACCGCAAGGCUGGCGUUUGCUUCAUCUUUGUUGUAAGUGAUGCACUUUUUCAUUUGCAGGUCAACAUCAGUUUGCUCUGCUGGACAAAACUCCAAGGGAAGGUGGCAGCUUAGGCUGUGUUAUAGCCCUGGAGCGAUACAGUGGGGUGGACUGAGGUUUCGCAGUGUGUGCUUUCGGGCAAGGCUGACUGGGUGCUAUGAGAUCGUUCGGCGUACAAUGCAUGCAUUUUGCGUCGUGUCUUUUUUAUACUCGCUCAACUCGGCUCUUCCACGCUUAGGA
This 684-nucleotide ribosomal RNA is filed under the name Mortierella sarnyensis. RNAcentral's name for it is "eukaryotic LSU rRNA". It matches the Rfam family "Eukaryotic large subunit ribosomal RNA", at positions 83 to 618 of the family's 3401-position model. The record is from RNAcentral. Lineage: Eukaryota; Fungi; Mortierellomycota; Mortierellomycetes; Mortierellales; Mortierellaceae.